Molecule: ribosomal RNA, 1552 nt
Filed under: Salmonella enterica subsp. enterica serovar Saintpaul
Lineage: Bacteria; Pseudomonadati; Pseudomonadota; Gammaproteobacteria; Enterobacterales; Enterobacteriaceae
Description: bacterial SSU rRNA
Rfam family: Bacterial small subunit ribosomal RNA
Source: RNAcentral
AAAUUGAAGAGUUUGAUCAUGGCUCAGAUUGAACGCUGGCGGCAGGCCUAACACAUGCAAGUCGAACGGUAACAGGAAGCAGCUUGCUGCUUUGCUGACGAGUGGCGGACGGGUGAGUAAUGUCUGGGAAACUGCCUGAUGGAGGGGGAUAACUACUGGAAACGGUGGCUAAUACCGCAUAACGUCGCAAGACCAAAGAGGGGGACCUUCGGGCCUCUUGCCAUCAGAUGUGCCCAGAUGGGAUUAGCUUGUUGGUGAGGUAACGGCUCACCAAGGCGACGAUCCCUAGCUGGUCUGAGAGGAUGACCAGCCACACUGGAACUGAGACACGGUCCAGACUCCUACGGGAGGCAGCAGUGGGGAAUAUUGCACACUGGGCGCAAGCCUGAUGCAGCCAUGCCGCGUGUAUGAAGAAAGCCUUCGGGUUGUAACGUACUUUCAGCGGGGAGGAAGGUGUUGUGGUUAAUAACCGCAGCAAUUGACGUUACCCGCAGAAGAAGCACCGGCUAACUCCGUGCCAGCAGCCGCGGUAAUACGGAGGGUGCAAGCGUUAAUCGGAAUUACUGGGCGUAAAGCGCACGCAGGCGGUCUGUCAAGUCGGAUGUGAAAUCCCCGGGCUCAACCUGGGAACUGCAUUCGAAACUGGCAGGCUUGAGUCUUGUAGAGGGGGGUAGAAUUCCAGGUGUAGCGGUGAAAUGCGUAGAGAUCUGGAGGAAUACCGGUGGCGAAGGCGGCCCCCUGGACAAAGACUGACGCUCAGGUGCGAAAGCGUGGGGAGCAAACAGGAUUAGAUACCCUGGUAGUCCACGCCGUAAACGAUGUCUACUUGGAGGUUGUGCCCUUGAGGCGUGGCUUCCGGAGCUAACGCGUUAAGUAGACCGCCUGGGGAGUACGGCCGCAAGGUUAAAACUCAAAUGAAUUGACGGGGGCCCGCACAAGCGGUGGAGCAUGUGGUUUAAUUCGAUGCAACGCGAAGAACCUUACCUGGUCUUGACAUCCACAGAACUUUCCAGAGAUGGAUUGGUGCCUUCGGGAACUGUGAGACAGGUGCUGCAUGGCUGUCGUCAGCUCGUGUUGUGAAAUGUUGGGUUAAGUCCCGCAACGAGCGCAACCCUUAUCCUUUGUUGCCAGCGAUUAGGUCGGGAACUCAAAGGAGACUGCCAGUGAUAAACUGGAGGAAGGUGGGGAUGACGUCAAGUCAUCAUGGCCCUUACGACCAGGGCUACACACGUGCUACAAUGGCGCAUACAAAGAGAAGCGACCUCGCGAGAGCAAGCGGACCUCAUAAAGUGCGUCGUAGUCCGGAUUGGAGUCUGCAACUCGACUCCAUGAAGUCGGAAUCGCUAGUAAUCGUGGAUCAGAAUGCCACGGUGAAUACGUUCCCGGGCCUUGUACACACCGCCCGUCACACCAUGGGAGUGGGUUGCAAAAGAAGUAGGUAGCUUAACCUUCGGGAGGGCGCUUACCACUUUGUGAUUCAUGACUGGGGUGAAGUCGUAACAAGGUAACCGUAGGGGAACCUGCGGUUGGAUCACCUCCUUACCUGAAAGAA